Molecule: non-coding RNA, 30 nt
Filed under: Mus musculus (house mouse)
Lineage: Eukaryota; Metazoa; Chordata; Mammalia; Rodentia; Muridae
Source: RNAcentral
UGGGUUGUCUCGGGAACUUACCUAAAAGAA